Molecule: ribosomal RNA, 495 nt
Filed under: uncultured bacterium
Lineage: Bacteria
Description: partial 16S ribosomal RNA
Rfam family: Bacterial small subunit ribosomal RNA
Source: RNAcentral
GACGAACGCUGGCGGCGUGCCUAAUACAUGCAAGUAGAACGCUGAAGGAGGAGCUUGCCUCUCUGGAUGAGUUGCGAACGGGUGAGUAACGCGUAGGUAACCUGCCUGGUAGCGGGGGAUAACUAUUGGAAACGAUAGCUAAUACCGCAUAAUAGUAGAUGUUGCAUGACAUUUGCUUAAAAGGUGCAAUUGCAUCACUACCAGAUGGACUUGCGUUGUAUUAGCUAGUUGGUGAGGUAACGGCUCAACAAGGCGACGAUACAUAGCCGACCUGAGAGGGUGAUCGGCCACACUGGGACUGAGACACGGCCCAGACUCCUACGGGAGGCAGCAGUAGGGAAUCGUCGGCAAUGGACGGAAGUCUGACCGAGCAACGCCGCGUGAGUGAAGAAGGUUUUCGGAUCGUAAAGCUCUGUUGUAAGAGAAGAACGAGUGUGAGAGUGGAAAGUUCACACUGUGACGGUAUCUUACCAGAAAGGGACGGCUAACUACGUG